This 253-nucleotide ribosomal RNA is filed under the name uncultured bacterium. Its description in RNAcentral is "partial 16S ribosomal RNA". It matches the Rfam family "Bacterial small subunit ribosomal RNA", at positions 524 to 776 of the family's 1533-position model. The record is from RNAcentral.
UACGUAGGGUGCAAGCGUUGUCCGGAAUUAUUGGGCGUAAAGAGCUCGUAGGCGGUUUGUCGCGUCUGCUGUGAAAACUCGGGGCUUAACCCCGGGCUGGCGGUCGAUACGGGCAGGCUGGAGUUCGGUAGGGGAGACUGGAAUUCCUGGUGUAGCGGUGAAAUGCGCAGAUAUCAGGAGGAACACCGGUGGCGAAGGCGGGUCUCUGGGCCGAUACUGACGCUGAGGAGCGAAAGCGUGGGGAGCGAACAGG